This 119-nucleotide ribosomal RNA is filed under the name Triticum aestivum (bread wheat). The record is from RNAcentral. RNAcentral also lists the same sequence under 1 other name. Lineage: Eukaryota; Viridiplantae; Streptophyta; Magnoliopsida; Poales; Poaceae.
GGAUGCGAUCAUACCAGCACUAAAGCACCGGAUCCCAUUAGAACUCCAAAGUUAAGCGUGCUUGGGCGAGAGUAGUACUAGGAUGGGUGACCUCCUGGGAAGUCCUCAUGUUGCAUUCC